RNAcentral lists this ribozyme (89 nucleotides) under Aedes aegypti (yellow fever mosquito). RNAcentral describes it as "drz-agam-1 ribozyme". It matches the Rfam family "drz-agam-1 ribozyme". The record is from Rfam by way of RNAcentral. Lineage: Eukaryota; Metazoa; Arthropoda; Insecta; Diptera; Culicidae.
UGCUCAGUAACUCCUAUACCUACCUCCUCGCGGUACCGGCCGGGGUACGAGUAACCGGUGGGAAUUUUGGUGGUAUGCUGACAGGAAGG